UACGAAGGGAGCUAGCGUCGUUCGGAAUCACUGGGCGUAAAGCGCACGUAGGCGGAUGUGUCAGUCAGGGGUGAAAUCCCGGAGCUCAACUUCGGAACUGCCUUUGAUACUGUCUGUCUUGAGUCCGGGAGAGGUGAGUGGAGUUCCUAGUGUAGAGGUGAAAUUCGUAGAUAUUAGGAAGAACACCAGUGGCGAAGGCGGCUCACUGGCCCGGUACUGACGCUCAUGUGCGAAAGCGUGGGGAGCAAACAGG
RNAcentral lists this ribosomal RNA (253 nucleotides) under uncultured bacterium. RNAcentral describes it as "partial 16S ribosomal RNA". It matches the Rfam family "Bacterial small subunit ribosomal RNA", at positions 524 to 776 of the family's 1533-position model. The record is from RNAcentral.